This 1230-nucleotide ribosomal RNA is filed under the name Triticum aestivum (bread wheat). RNAcentral's name for it is "partial small subunit ribosomal RNA". The record is from RNAcentral. Lineage: Eukaryota; Viridiplantae; Streptophyta; Magnoliopsida; Poales; Poaceae.
AUGGGGAAGUGGAUCAGGUCGCUGGUCGGCCUCAAGGCGCCGUCGGCGUCCGCGGCGCCGGGAAAGGGCCGGAAGUGGAGCCGGCUCUGGCGGGGCGCGUCCAGGGACGGCGCCGGGGGCUGCGAGACGUCCUCGACCACGUCGUCCGCCACCGCGCUCGGCUCGGUCGUGGCGCGCGCGCCGCCCGCGGACUUCCGCGUGAUCAGGCAGGAGUGGGCCGCCGUGCGCAUCCAGGCCGCCUUCCGCGCCCUCCUGGCGAGGCGGGCGCUGAAGGCGCUGCGGGGGAUCGUGCGGCUGCAGGCGCUGGUGCGCGGCCGGCUGGUGCGGAGGCAGCUCGCCGUCACGCUCAGCCGCAUGGAGGCGCUGCUGAGGGUGCAGGAGCGCGCCAUGGAGCGCCGGGCGCGCUGCUCCGCCGACGCGCAGUCACAGGACGCGCCCGGCCACCGCGACGGCCGUGCCGAUCCGCUCAGGGAAACCGAGGGACGAUGGUGUGACAGGCAAGGUUCUGUCAACCAAGUAAAAUCAAGAAUGCACAUGAAACAUGAGGGCGCAGUGAAGAGACAAAGGGCAAUUGCUUAUGCACAUUCUCACCAGCGUGGGAGUUCAAGAUACAGUGGAAGGUCAAGCUCCCCUGCAAGCUCUCUCAGGAACCAUGAGUCUUACAUAGAAGGAUGGAUGGCAACAAAGCCCUGGGAGAGCACGCAUAUGGACUCAAACAUCGGCGAGUCGCGUCGUCUACAUAGCUACAAGGAGACGAUGAACUUCGAAGACUCCAAAUAUUCAUGUGCUGGCUCCACCAAGAUCAGAAGAAACAACGACUCGACCAGGGUUGAAGCAAUGCCUCCACCGGCGCUCUCGGCUUCCUCUUCUGACUUUGGGUGCGACGAGAGCUCUCCGUCGACAUCCUCGGUGACCCCGGGAUACUCUACCAACACCUUGGCAUCAGAGGCGAGAUCCGACAGUGGUGGAGGGCCGGGGUACAUGAGCCUGACCAAGGCUGCCAAAGCAAGGCUGGAGGACAUCGGCGGCAGUCGGAGAGGGCCCUUUCAGCUGCAGAGGCAGCGAUCUGGGGGCGUGCCGUAUUACAGCAGAAGGGUGGCACUCUCGUCGUUGGACUCCGAGAGCAACGCGGGGUCAGAUGUCUCGGCCGCCGCGAGGAGGUUGAACAGCUUGUCUCUGAAAGGCCUGAGCAUGACGAGGAGCUUGGACAAGGAGAACUACAAUUAUUAA